UACAGAGGGGGCAAGCGUUAUUCGGAAUUAUUGGGCGUAAAGGGCGCGUAGGCGGCGUGGUAAGUCACUUGUGAAAUCUCUGAGCUUAACUCAGAACGGUCAAGUGAUACUGCUGUGCUAGAGUGCGGUAGGGGCAAUCGGAAUUCUCGGUGUAGCGGUGAAAUGCGUAGAUAUCGAGAGGAACACCUGAGGUGAAGACGGGUUGCUGGGCCGACACUGACGCUGAGUGCGCGAAAGCCAGGGGAGCAAACGGG
Molecule: ribosomal RNA, 254 nt
Filed under: uncultured bacterium
Lineage: Bacteria
Description: partial 16S ribosomal RNA
Rfam family: Bacterial small subunit ribosomal RNA
Source: RNAcentral